UAAGGAAUAUUGCGCAAUGGGCGACAGCCUGACGCAGCGACGCCGCGUGGGGGAUGAAGGUCUUCGGAUUGUAAACCCCUUUCGGGAGGGAAGAUGGAAUGGGGUAACCCAUUCGGACGGUACCUCCAGAAGCAGCCACGGCUAACUUCGUGCCAGCAGCCGCGGUAAUACGAAGGUGGCAAGCGUUAUUCGGAUUUACUGGGCGUACAGGGAGCGUAGGCGGUUCGGUAAGCCCUUUGUGAAAUCUCCAGGCUUAACCUGGAACAGUCGGAGGGGACUGCCGGGCUAGAGGACGGGAGAGGAGCGCGGAAUUCCCGGUGUAGCGGUGAAAUGCGUAGAGAUCGGGAGGAAGGCCGGUGGCGAAGGCGGCGCUCUGGAACGUUUCUGACGCUGAGGCUCGAAAGCGUGGGGAGCAAACAGGAUUAGAUACCCAAGUAGUCCCUGAGCGGGCUGGCAAGGCGCAU
Molecule: ribosomal RNA, 464 nt
Filed under: uncultured bacterium
Lineage: Bacteria
Description: bacterial SSU rRNA
Rfam family: Bacterial small subunit ribosomal RNA
Source: RNAcentral